UGAGCUGGCAGAGCUACC
Molecule: non-coding RNA, 18 nt
Filed under: Arabidopsis thaliana (thale cress)
Lineage: Eukaryota; Viridiplantae; Streptophyta; Magnoliopsida; Brassicales; Brassicaceae
Source: RNAcentral